ACAAGCAGUGGGAGCACGCUUAGGCGUGUGACUGCGUACCUUUUGUAUAAUGGGUCAGCGACUUAUAUUCUGUAGCAAGGUUAACCGAAUAGGGGAGCCGAAGGGAAACCGAGUCUUAACUGGGCGUUAAGUUGCAGGGUAUAGACCCGAAACCCGGUGAUCUAGCCAUGGGCAGGUUGAAGGUUGGGUAACACUAACUGGAGGACCGAACCGACUAAUGUUGAAAAAUUAGCGGAUGACUUGUGGCUGGGGGUGAAAGGCCAAUCAAACCGGGAGAUAGCUGGUUCUCCCCGAAAGCUAUUUAGGUAGCGCCUCGUGAAUUCAUCUCCGGGGGUAGAGCACUGUUUCGGCAAGGGGGUCAUCCCGACUUACCAACCCGAUGCAAACUGCGAAUACCGGAGAAUGUUAUCACGGGAGACACACGGCGGGUGCUAACGUCCGUCGUGAAGAGGGAAACAACCCAGACCGCCAGCUAAGGUCCCAAAGUCAUGGUUAAGUGGGAAACGAUGUGGGAAGGCCCAGACAGCCAGGAUGUUGGCUUAGAAGCAGCCAUCAUUUAAAGAAAGCG
This 568-nucleotide ribosomal RNA is filed under the name Escherichia coli. RNAcentral's name for it is "partial 23S ribosomal RNA". It matches the Rfam family "Bacterial large subunit ribosomal RNA", at positions 566 to 1134 of the family's 2925-position model. The record is from RNAcentral. Lineage: Bacteria; Pseudomonadati; Pseudomonadota; Gammaproteobacteria; Enterobacterales; Enterobacteriaceae.